CAAGAGCGUAUGUAAAAGUUGUUGCAGUUAAAAAGCUCGUAGUUGAACCUUGGGUUUGGUUGGCCGGUCCGCUUUUUUGCGAGUACUGGAUUCAACCGAGCCUUUCCUUCUGGCUAACCAGUCGUUUCGGCGGCUGGCGAACCAGGAUUUUUACUUUUAGAAAAUUAGAGUGUUCAAAGCAGGCAUUAGCUUGAAUAUAUUAGCAUGGAAUAAUAGAAUAGGACGUUAUGGUUCUAUUUUGUUGGUUUCUAGGACCAUCGUAAUGAUUAAUAGGGACGGUCGGGGGCAUCAGUAUUCAGUUGUCAGAGGUGAAAUUCUUGGAUUUACUGAAGACUAACUACUGCGAAAGCAUUUGCCAAGGACGUUUUCAUUAA
Molecule: ribosomal RNA, 374 nt
Filed under: uncultured eukaryote
Lineage: Eukaryota
Description: partial 18S ribosomal RNA
Rfam family: Eukaryotic small subunit ribosomal RNA
Source: RNAcentral